UCGUACGAGAAAUCUCCUGCUUGCAGGGGAGAGUAAAGUGGCGCACGGGUGAGUAACACGUGGGUAAUCUACCUUCGAAUCGGGGAUAACGCCGCGAAAGUUAUGCUAAUACCCGGUAACAUCUGAGAGGUUGCGGCCUUUCAGAUCGAAGAGGGCCUCUACAUGUAAGCUCUCGUUUGAAGAUGAGCCCGCGGGCCAUUAGCUUGUUGGUAGGGUAAAAGCCUACCAAGGCGACGAUGGUUAGCUGGUCUGAGAGGAUGACCAGCCACACUGGAACUGAGACACGGUCCAGACUCCUACGGGAGGCAGCAGUGAGGAAUCUUGCGCAAUGGGGGAAACCCUGACGCAGCAACGCCGCGUGAGUGAAGGAGGCCUUCGGGUCGUAAAGCUCUGUCAAGUGGGAAGAAAAUGUUUUGUGAUAAUACCACAGAGCACUGACGGUACCACUGAAGGAAGCACCGGCUAACUCCGUGCCAGCAGCCGCGGUAAUACGGAGGGUGCAAGCGUUAUUCGGAAU
RNAcentral lists this ribosomal RNA (517 nucleotides) under uncultured bacterium. Its description in RNAcentral is "bacterial SSU rRNA". It matches the Rfam family "Bacterial small subunit ribosomal RNA", at positions 62 to 551 of the family's 1533-position model. The record is from RNAcentral.